AUAAAUUAAAAAAAAGCACAGACAAUUUAAAUUUAAUAUACGAUUCGAUUCUUAAUAUCAUAUACGCUUCUUCUGAAAUAAUAUAUCUCUCUAGGUCACCGCUACUGUUUUGAUACCAACACAGAGAAUUUAGUUCGUAUUGAAUUCUCGAUCGACACAUAUCGUUUCUCGACUACCACACGACUUAAUUUCAACGUACCUGUGUAAUAAAGUAAAGUUCUGUGGUGUGUUUAAGUUGACUAAUUUUCUCUAGACACUUGACCAAAAUUGUCGGUCGAAUGGGUCAACAAUAAACAUGAGAAUUGUAACCAGUCUGGUCGCCUACUUUCGGUGUCCUUGAUAAUAUAUGAGCAUCUUUCUCAUUAACGGAUUCUUCUUACUGUGCUUCGUCGUGGUCACAGUACCG
This is a non-coding RNA of Nylanderia fulva, 406 nucleotides long. Lineage: Eukaryota; Metazoa; Arthropoda; Insecta; Hymenoptera; Formicidae. The record is from RefSeq and is a predicted model, not a curated record.